Long non-coding RNA from Oreochromis niloticus (Nile tilapia), 353 nucleotides. RefSeq lists it as uncharacterized. Lineage: Eukaryota; Metazoa; Chordata; Actinopteri; Cichliformes; Cichlidae. The record is from RefSeq and is a predicted model, not a curated record. The transcript is spliced from 3 exons.
UAAGGGAAUCAAGACUGACAGAGAGUGAGAAAGAGAUUCAUUAAUGGAAGUGAAGUGUUUCUAUUAUUGUUUUCUCUUAAACUACUUGCUUAUCGUCAGCAUAAGUACUGGAAGCAAGAGGGAGACAAGCUUCUGUCGAUGGAACUAGGCUAGCUGUUUCCCAUGUUCCUAUCUCCGUGCUAAACUAAGCUAAGAAAGAGAACCUCGUUUCCUUCCCAACACAUUGGGGGACGUAGAGAUGGAUCCACCUAUUAGACCUGCUGGUGUGAGUUCAUCCUCUGGUGGUCAGCUUCUCGUUUCCCUGGGCAGUCUGCUUGAUGACCAGCACUGGCACCAUGUAAAGCUGGAGCGGC